AUGGCUAACUCGUCUCCGUCCUCCGUGGCCGGUGGGACAACGUCCCACACUGCGUCGACCAUCAUCGCCGAGGGCGUAUCCGGGUCGCACGACCUAAACAUCAAGGGCUACUCUCGCACCAAGGGGCUGGGCAUCGGCGAAUGCAUCACAUCCGAGAAGUUCGACGUCGGGGGCCAUCACUGGUGUAUCAAAUACUACCCUGACGGUGAGGCCAAAGACGACACCGACUCGGUAGCACUGCACCUAUGGCGUGAUGACACUGACGGCAAUGAUGUCACGGCAAUAUUCACCUUCAGUUUGCUCAACGGGGAGGGGCAACCGGUGUCACUGCACAGCCAUUCAAGUGGGCGUCGUACGUUCAGGCCCAAACAAGGAUGGGGAUUCGCUACGUUCAUCGAGAGGAAAGACUUGGAGGACUCCCCUCAUCUCAAAGAUGACUGUUUCAGCAUCAGGUGCGAUCUCACUCUCACUAAGGAAAUCUGCACCGCACGCGCUGCCCCGUUUGUAGUUGUGCCGCCGUCGAACAUGCAUCGGCAACUACUCUACCUCUUGACAAGCAGGCAUGCAGGUGACGUGACUUUCAAGGUCGGCCGUCAGCGGUUCACGGCGCAUAGGUACAUCCUUGCUGCUCGGUCUUCGGUCUUCAUGGCCGAGCUCUUUGGUCCCAUGAAAGAGAAGGAGGCCACCUGCAUACACAUCCAUGAAGUGGAGGCCAAGGUUUUUAAAGCCAUGCUUCACUUCAUUUACACCGACGAACUGCCUCAGAUUGACGACGGGGAAGCUAUGGUGAUGGCACAACAUUUGCUCGUAGCGGCUGACAGAUAUAACCUCGAUAGGCUCAAGUUAAUGUGCGAGGAGACCUUGUGCAACUACAUCAGCGAAGACACAGCAGCCACCACGUUGGCGUUGGCUGAGCAGCAUGGCUGCGAUGGGCUCAGGAGGGCAUGCUUCGCAUUCCUCGCUUCACUCGACAAUCUUAAGGCAGUCAUGGCGAGUGAUGGCUUUGCCCAUCUGAGGAGCAGCUGCCCCUCCAUCAUAGAGAAGCUGGUCACCAACCUUGCUCCCUGCUGA
RNAcentral lists this ribosomal RNA (1071 nucleotides) under Triticum aestivum (bread wheat). RNAcentral's name for it is "partial small subunit ribosomal RNA". The record is from RNAcentral. Lineage: Eukaryota; Viridiplantae; Streptophyta; Magnoliopsida; Poales; Poaceae.